UUUGUUUAUAUAUUGAUAAUGACAGUAUAUAUAUCGUGUCUUGACUAAUUGCGUGCCAGCAGUCGCGGUAAUACGUAAGAGACUAGUGUUAUUCAUCUUAAUUAGGUUUAAAGGGUACCCAGACGGUCAAUAUAGCUUAUAAAAUGUGAGUACUUGACUAGAGUUUUAUGUAAGAGGGCAGUACUUGAGGAGGAGAGAUGAAAUUUCGUGAUACCAAAGGGACUCUGUAAAGGCGAAGGCAGCCCUCUAUGUAAAAACUGACGUUGAAGGACGAAGGCACAGAGAACAAACAGGAUUAGAUACCCAAGUAGUCUUUGCAGUAAAUGAUGAAUGCCAUAGGUUAGAUUAAUCAAACAUAGUCUAGGGUUAGUCUAGCAAACUAAUGACCUAUACUACAAUGAAAAAAAUAUCUGGUCUAUAAAUGAAAGUGUAAGCAUUUCACCUCAAGAGUAAUGUGGCAACGCAGGAACUGAAAUCACUAGACCGUUUCUGACACCAG
This 499-nucleotide ribosomal RNA is filed under the name Fusarium oxysporum. RNAcentral describes it as "SSU rRNA". It matches the Rfam family "Bacterial small subunit ribosomal RNA", at positions 450 to 929 of the family's 1533-position model. Lineage: Eukaryota; Fungi; Ascomycota; Sordariomycetes; Hypocreales; Nectriaceae. The record is from RNAcentral.